RNAcentral lists this unclassified non-coding RNA (286 nucleotides) under uncultured fungus. RNAcentral's name for it is "partial contains small subunit ribosomal RNA, internal transcribed spacer 1, and 5.8S ribosomal RNA". The stretch from base 1 to 73 matches the Rfam family "Eukaryotic small subunit ribosomal RNA", at positions 1759 to 1831 of the family's 1831-position model. The record is from RNAcentral. Lineage: Eukaryota; Fungi.
GCAAACUUGGUCAUUUAGAGGAAGUAAAAGUCGUAACAAGGUCUCCGUUGGUGAACCAGCGGAGGGAUCAUUACCGAGUUAUCAACUCCCAAACCCCUGUGAACAUACCUGAACGUUGCUUCGGCGGGACCGCCCCGGCGCCCUCAGCGGCCCGGACCCAGGCGCCCGCCGGAGGACCCAAACUCUUGCUUUGUAUUAGUGGCAUUCUCUGAGUCUCACAAACAAAAAAUAAAUCAAAACUUUCAACAACGGAUCUCUUGGCUCUGGCAUCGAUGAAGAACGCAGC